CCCUUAGAUGUCCUGGGCCGCACGCGUGCUACACUGAUGCAUGCAACGAGUUUAUAACCUUGGCCUGAAAGGUCUGGGUAAUCUUUUGAACGUGCAUCGUGAUAGGGAUAGAUUAUUGCAAUUGUUAAUCUUGAACGAGGAAUUCCUAGUAAACGCGAGUCAUCAGCUCGCAUUGAUUACGUCCCUGCCCUUUGCACACACCGCCCGUCGCACCUACCGAUUGAAUGGUUCGGUGAAGAUCUCGGACUUCGAUAUUUAUUCUUUAUUGAGUUUAUAUUGUGGGAAGUUAUCUAAACCUCAUCAUUUAGAGGAAGGUGAAGUCGUAACA
Molecule: ribosomal RNA, 328 nt
Filed under: uncultured eukaryote
Lineage: Eukaryota
Description: partial 18S ribosomal RNA
Rfam family: Eukaryotic small subunit ribosomal RNA
Source: RNAcentral